CUCGGCACAUGGACGGCUACCUAGCAUCGUUUUUCGAACCAAAAGUGGUGCUGGGAGGAAAGUCCGGACACUUAUCUCGACGCAAGUUGGGAGCGCGUAGCGGGUAACGCCCGUCGGGGGUAACCCUAGAGGUGCGAACAGAGACGAGUCCCUUCGGGGAGUGAAACGGCUAAAUCCUUACGUGAGUGCAAGGACGUACUUCCCGGUAUUCCGCCAGCUGGCGGAGUCGGGAUUUGAUCCGCUUGACCCCGAGAGCAAUCGAGGGGCUAGAUAAAUUGUUGUCUUCCGCCUUCGCCGGCUGGCGAAUGGCGGAAAAACAGAAUCCGGCUUACGGUGUGCCAAACAAG
This 347-nucleotide RNase P RNA is filed under the name Candidatus Wolfebacteria bacterium RIFCSPHIGHO2_01_FULL_48_22. RNAcentral's name for it is "RNase P RNA component class A". It matches the Rfam family "Bacterial RNase P class A". From Rfam's summary of the family: Ribonuclease P (RNase P) is a ubiquitous endoribonuclease, found in archaea, bacteria and eukarya as well as chloroplasts and mitochondria. Its best characterised activity is the generation of mature 5'-ends of tRNAs by cleaving the 5'-leader elements of precursor-tRNAs. Cellular RNase Ps are ribonucleoproteins. Lineage: Bacteria; Candidatus Wolfeibacteriota. RNAcentral also lists the same sequence under 1 other name. The record is from RNAcentral.